CAGCCGCCACGGUAAUACGGAGGGUGCAAGCGUUAUCCGGAUUUAUUGGGUUUAAAGGGUCCGUAGGCGGACUUAUAAGUCAGUGGUGAAAGCCUGUCGCUUAACGAUAGAACUGCCAUUGAUACUGUAAGUCUUGAGUAUAUUUGAGGUAGCUGGAAUAAGUAGUGUAGCGGUGAAAUGCAUAGAUAUUACUUAGAACACCAAUUGCGAAGGCAGGUUACCAAGAUAUAACUGACGCUGAGGGACGAAAGCGUGGGUAGCGAACAGGAUUAGAGACCCCGGUAGUCCCUGUCUCUUAUAU
RNAcentral lists this ribosomal RNA (301 nucleotides) under uncultured bacterium. Its description in RNAcentral is "partial 16S ribosomal RNA". It matches the Rfam family "Bacterial small subunit ribosomal RNA", at positions 509 to 809 of the family's 1533-position model. The record is from RNAcentral.